Long non-coding RNA from Thalassophryne amazonica, 146 nucleotides. RefSeq lists it as uncharacterized. The transcript is spliced from 3 exons. NCBI's taxonomy places the organism in Eukaryota, Metazoa, Chordata, Actinopteri, Batrachoidiformes, Batrachoididae. The record is from RefSeq and is a predicted model, not a curated record.
UUCACUAUUAGUUGACAAUGCCAUUUAUUAAGUUCAUUCAACCCUUAAAAGAAUAGAUCUUUGGAGCUGCUAGCACUCCCUUCACUCAGUGAAGAAAGUAUGUGAACCUUGGCAGGUGAAUUAGUCAGCUCAAACAGGUUGUCUAG